This 21233-nucleotide long non-coding RNA is filed under the name Panax ginseng (ginseng). RNAcentral's name for it is "long non-coding RNA (PGIN_LNC011969)". Lineage: Eukaryota; Viridiplantae; Streptophyta; Magnoliopsida; Apiales; Araliaceae. The record is from RNAcentral.
UUGAAUUUUUUUUUUAUAAUUUCACAAUUUCCUUGUUCAUUUACAAAUAUAAACGUACACUUGUUAUGAACUAAUAACAAACAUCAAAUAACAAGCAAAUAUCAUAGAAUUCACCAUUGAAUUAGUAAUCCAAAUCAAAUAUAUAGAUAAAAAAAUAUAAUGGCCGUCGGUACAACUCAAAAAUUGUACAAGUACAUACAUGAAACUUAGAAUAAAACAUAAACUAAACUAACUACAACCCGUCGCCUGUCUCCAUGUCAUCGACUCGGCGGUCAUCACCCUGUAUUGUUGGAGGCUGCUCGUCAUCAACUCGAUGGUCAUCGCCUUGUACUAGAAGAGGCUGUUCGUCAUCAGCUCGGCGGUCAUCACCAGUGCCUCCAACUCCACCUCCACGAGUCUCGUCAAUUAGACCCUACAAAAUUAAAAUAUUAAUAACAAAGUCAAAAUGAAAACAUAUUUACAUUAUUUUAGUUUGUGUUCUUCAAGUUAGGUGUACGGAACUCGAACUCGGGCUUCGUAUAUCGGAAUCGAGUCCCGUCAGUUGUAACGCGUGUCUAUUGCCUAUGCGGUGCUAUUGCUUGUGUUUGCGUGUUGUUUGGACGACCGGGGCGAGUUUGGUCUCUUUUUCGACUAUUUUUCUAAGUUUUCUCAAAUUAGGCGGACGGGACUCGAACUCGGGCUCCGUAUAUCGGAAUCGAGUCCCGUCAGUUGUAACGCGUGUCUAUUGCCUAUGCGGUGCUAUUGCCUGUGUUUGCGUGUCAUUUGGACGAUCGAGACAGAUUUUGGUCUCUUUUUCGAUUAUUUUUCUAAGUUUUCUCAAGUUAGGCGGACGGGACUCGAACUCGGGCUCCGUAUAUCGGAAUCGAGUCCCGUCAGUUGUAACGCAUGUCUAUUGCCUAUGCGGUAUUAUUUCCUGUGUUUGCGUGUCGUUUGGAAGACCGAGACAGAUUUUGGUCUCUUUUUCGACUAUUUUUUUAAGUUUUCUCAAGUUAGGCGGACGAGACUCGAACUCGGGAUCCGUAUAUCGGAAUCGAGUUCCGUCAGUUAUAACGCAUGUCUAUUGCCUAUGCGGUGCUAUUGCCUGUGUUUGCGUGUCGUUUGGACAACCGGGGCAGAUUUUGGUCUCUUUUUCGACUAUUUUUCCAAAAUUUUUCAAGUUAGGCGGACGAGACUCAAACUCGGGCUCUGUAUAUCGGAAUCGAGUCCCGUCAGUUGUAACGCGUGUCUAUUACCUAUGCAGUGCUAUUGCCUGUGUUUGCAUGUUAACUAGUUAUUUGACAAUUUAUAUAAGCAAUAUAAUUACAAAUAAGGAAAUACAUCAAUAAUAAGUUUUACUUGUCGAAUAUGUGGAGGAAAGAUGUUGGCCAAGACAACUGCACAUAAACGGAUGGCCUCCUCCCGGACUACACCCAUGAGGUCGUCAACGACAGUUGCAGGAUCUAUGGAGCCGUGGACAACCUCCUGAGCAAGCUGGUAGAUCCGCUCGCGUGAUGGUGCGCCUGACUGCACGACACUGCUAGCCAUGCACCCCUCUGUGAUCCGCCUGAAGAAGUCGUCAGAUAAUGAAGGGCCGACACCUGAUCCACUCGCACCACUACCUCCGGUGGGUGGGCAAUGUCGAGAUCUCGCAGCAGGGACUAUAGUGUAGGCUGGGACACGGGGAAUGUCCACAACUCUGCCCUCCUUCGGCCCCCUGUAGCCUGCAGCGAGUCCUCCAUCUCCUCGUCCUCACGCUCAGCAUUAGCCACUGGAGUGUCACCUCUCUGGCUGCUCUGGACCACAGAAAGGUCCUCGAACCGUGUCUGAAAAAACACAGAAAUAGGUGAAAAGCAAGUAUUACACAAAAAAAUACAAAAGAAUUUCAAAGCCAUCAAAUACAUACUAAAUGAAAUAAUUAAAUUACUUACCGCAAUGCGCUCUGCCUCAAGUGAGAUAUAACCACCGUCACCUUUCUUCUGGUGAGCGUGCCACUAAAACUCAAGGCGGGAAGGUCGGUGCUUUAGACUCACCUCGAGUCUCUCCCUGUAGAGGUCGUACGACUGACUCCCAGUGCAGUGUAGGAGACGACUCUGCCGUCGAGCAACUGUACGUUGUGUCGACAUCUUCUUGAACGCCUCGCCCACCCAAAUAUCGCACAUCUACUCCUACAGCACAACACCAAUGAAAUCUGGUCGGACAUCCCUAAAUGACUGUCCAUCAGCCAUCUUGGUCUGAGCCUUCUUCUUCCAGUCGUAGACCCACUUGUGCCAUUUCAUCUCGAGAUACUUCCCAAGAACAGUGCUGUCGUGGGCUUCCUGCCCGUCCUCGAAGUGAUAAUAUCUCUGCAAUACAACAUAUGAAUAUCAGCAGUUACUUAAUAGAUAACAUAAAGCAAAGAGGUAAAUAAAUAUUCAAAAGCACAAAUUAAAACUAACAUAUGAAUGAAUGACUUCUUACCCUAAACUCAGCAAUAAUCAGCCCACGUGUGCGGUCUUCUACAUCCGCCCACCUCAUCCACGGGCUGGAGAAUCGGUUGCAGAUGAUCCCAAGCAACAUGUUCCUUGGCGUUGCGUCAAGGAUACUAAAAUUGAAAGUAUUAAAUUUCUAAAUUACAAAGAAUAUAUAAGAACUAAAUAAUUAAUACAAACAUAAUGUAUAUAUUACCUAGUAGUCCCGACCCGGCAUAUAAGCGGCGCCUGGGGGGGAUUCCCUAGCAAUCCACGUGCUAGUCCCCACGGAGGCCUACGUCGAUCACCUAUGUAGUAAAAUACAACAAUAUUUAUAUAAACGAAUAUAAUGUCAAUAUUAUAUAAAAUUAAAAAUAAUAAGAUGUAUAACAAUAAAACAUGUAAUUAUACCUGAUGAUCCGGCCUGAUCAUCACCAGCACUACCUCUACGGCCCCCACGACCUGAACUACCAGCACGCCCACCACGAUCGCUGUGUGGGUACGUGCCAUAUCUGUAUAUAUACUGUCAAAUCAUCAUCAAGAAGAUAAUAUGCGGAUACAACAUAAAUAUCAGAAUCGUCAUGCACAUACAACUAAAAGGAUACAAUAUGCAGAUAUAACUAAAAGGAAACAACUAUGACAUUUGAAUACAACUAAAAGGCUACAACAUGCAGAUAUAACUAAAAGGAGACAACUAUUACAUUAGAAUACAACUAAAAGGACAUAAAGAGUACAUACUCCUAAUCAUUUAUAUCAUUAAAGCCAUCAAUAUAAGAAUCGUCAUCUUCAAGCAGUAGAUCUUCACUAUCGUUGUCAUCACCAUCUUCGUCAUCCUCAACGAUUUCUUCAAUUAUAUCUACCUCCUCAACAACAUCGUCUUCACUUUCGACAGCGACAACAUCAUCCUCUUCUUCACUAGACUCACUAAUAAUUGUCACAUCAGCAGGUGUGACACUAGUAAACUCGACUUGUAAAGGUUCAUCGUCUGGAUGAGGAGUUGUGCCCUGAAAACCACGGGCUUUAGUGGUUAUAACAGCAUGCCAUGGGCUUGCAGGAGUCUUAACACUCCGCGCAUAGUACACCUGUGUUGCUUGACUUGCUAAACUAAAAGGCUCGUCCAUACCAAUCAUUAGUCUUAGUUUUGACUUAACGUUAACAGUCACCCGUCCUGAUUUUUUAUUUACUUUAACUCCAUUCUCAACAUCAAACCAAUGACAAUUGAAGCAAACUAAUUCUUUAUGACCCCAAUAUUUGAGAACGACAACUUCUAGCAAUCGUCCAUACCAGUCAUCCCAAAUGUUAUCGUAGCAGCUACCUUUCACCACAACACCAGAAUCAACAUAAAUGACUUCCCCAAUAUCACAACACUUAAAUCUGUAACCGUUGACAAUGCAUCAUGUAUAAGUAUCUACAGAUCUUUCAGGGUCGUCGGCUAUAAGCUUUAGCUGAUUGUCAGCUAACUCAUCUGUGAGGACCUAAUGUACAUUAACACAACAUAUUCUAAAGUUAAUUACGCCAUAAGAAUAAAUCUAUGAUGGUAGAUUCAUUGAACAUGUAAAGGUUAGACUUACAUGAUCUUUAAACCAUUGCACAAAUUGUCCAAUUCUCAAAUUUUGCAAAUCCCCAUCUGAUAUACUCGGAUUCGCUUCACGUACUUCAACAUUAUAUUGACUGCAACACAGUUAUAUACUUAAUGUGUUUGUAAAGGAACCUCUCCCAGUUACACUAGACAUAUAUAGUUAUGACUACUUACUUAAUGUAUGGCGCUACUUUAUUCAUGUUGACAAGUGCAUACAAUGUGGCAGCUGUAUAUUCACUAUCGCUCAAGAAUCGCCUUUUUUACCGCCGAAUGGAUGUAUAAGAUGAAUAAAGGCCGUUAAUUCUCCAUUUUCCUCAUACGCAACAGUCUCAUUCUGACGUAAGCUAUUGUGCUUCGUCUGAACAUUCGGCUCAAAAUACAACGAGCAGAAAUUAACAAGUUCCUCCAUAACAUAACUUUCAGCAAUUGACCCCUCUACACGGGCUCUAUUCUUCACCUUUUGCUUUAGACGUCGCAUAUACCUAUGUGAUAUAUAGAUUAGCAAACAAGAAUUCUAAGUUUACCGUAUUAAAAACAUUAAUGACAUUACCUCUCGAAUGGAUACAUCCAUCUAUAUUGCACGGGAUCGCUAAGCUUAGCUUCGUAUGGCAAGUGAAUAGGCAAAUGCUCCUUUUAAUCAAAAAAUGAUGGAGAUAAGAUCAUUUCUAACUUAUACAUUAUUUGCACUAACUGCCUCUCUAUUUUAUCUAUGUCUUUGAGCUAGAGCUCCGUCAAGCAUAGAUCUUUGAAGAAAUUAGAAAGCUCUGUCAGUGCUUCAACCACACGUUUCGGUAACAAGUCGAUAAAUGCCACAGGGAUCAACUUCUGCAUGAAUACGUGACAAUCAUGACUUUUGAGACCCAAAAACUUCAGCUCUUCGACUUUACAACACCUUGUUAUAUUCGAAGAAUUUCCAUCUGGAAGCUUCAGUCCACUGAUCCAAUUACAUAUCAAUAUCAACUGUUCCCUGGUCAAAGUAUAUUCAGCUUUAGGCGUUACCGUCUUACUACCCCCCUGAUUUGGCCACAGAUCUUCCCUAAUGUUCAUUUCUACAAAAUUAAGUCUCGACUUAUUGUUGUCCUUUGUUCUACCACUAGCAUCUAGGUCUGUAUAAAAAAUGUUAUCAACUACGUUCUUCUUAGUAUGCAUCGGAUCUAAAUAAUGACGGAUGUAGAGUGUAGCCCAAUAAGGCAGGUCAAAGAACAUGGAUCUGUGUGUCCAGUUGUGAACCUUGCCGUAACCAUAAGCUCGCUCCAAUCUGUGAUUCUUCCCUAGAGGUGGAAACUUCAAAUGACUAAUCCAACUCAACACUGCUGACCCAGAAAGACGGUCAGGUACUUGACGUUUCUCUGUUUUUCGAUUGAAUUGUCUACUCAUCCGUCGAUAACGAUGUUCAAUCGGCAAAAACUGUCUGGAUGUUGCAAAGAAACUCAUUUUCCCCCCAUGUUUGAGCCGCAUAGCUUUAACUGACCCCAUGCACACGGGACAUGACAAGCCCCUGUGAGUCGACCAUCCACUGAUCAUUCCUAACGCCGGGAAGUCAUUUAUUGUCCAUAGUAAAGUUGCCCUCAUGUCAAAGUUCUGCUUAAGAGAUACAUCAUAAGUUUGAACCCCUUUUUCCCACAUCAUCUUCAACUCAUCAACUAACGGCCUGAGGUAUACAUUGAUGUAUUUACUCGGACUCUUAUCACUCGGAAUCAGUAAAGGCAUGAACAUGUAGGGAUCUUUCAUGCACAUCGAAGGCGGGAGGUUAUACACCACAAUAAUCAUCGGCCAAGUUGAGUAGGGCUUUAUGUAAGGCCCGUUAAACGGAUUAAACCCAUCCGUAGCAAGUCCAAGCGUAACCUUGCGAACCUCUUCAGCAAACGAGGGGUGCUUGUUAUCAAAAUUUUUCCACUCAAGCCCAUCUGCCGGAUGCGUCAGUUGACCUUCGACUAUGUCCCGUGUAGAGUGCCACCUCAUAUCCUCGGCGGUAUGUGUUGACAUGAACAACCGCUAAAGCGUCGAGGCAAUGGGAAUGUAACGUAAGAUCUUUCUCGGCACGUCUUUUCCCUUUUUCUUGCGCUGUUCACAAUAUCUACUUGUACCACAAAUAUGACAUGACCUCUUAUCUUUAUUGACAUCACCGUAAUACAACAUAUAAUCAUUCUCACAAGCAUCAAUCUUCUCAUACUCUAGAUUGAGCCUUUUGACCAUUUUCUUCACAUCAUAGUACGCCUCCGGUAAUUUAUUGCCUGCAGGUAAGCACUCCUUCACAAUGCUUAACAGUUCAUUAAAACCUCUCUCGCUACAGUCAUGCUCGUUCUUGAAGUGUAAAAACUUAGUCACGACAGAUAAGACGGUGUGCUUUUCGUACCCGUCAUACAGUGGCGUCGCUGCUUCAUGCAAUAACUCAUAGAAACCCUUAGCCCCAUCAUUCGGCUCUUGCUCGACGCUAUUGCCAUCCCUGUCUGUAUUCCAUUGGAAGUAUGAACCAGCAGCUUCGACUAUCAUGUUAGUAUAGUCAAAGGUUUCGUCACCUCUGGAUUCCGGUUCUGAUUCAUGUUCAUCCAACCAGGUUUCCCCAUGAUAGAUCCAUGUCGUAUAACCCUGCUUGAACCCAUACGCAAAUAAGUCGCACAUGACAUCACUCCUUUCCUUCCACACUUCAUUCACACACCUCUUACAAGGACAUCUGAUCUCAUCACCGCUGACUUGCUCAAACGCGAAGUUGAGAAACUGUUCAACCCCAUUACGAUACUCAGAGAUAAGCCCACUCUUAUCAGUGGCUACCCUACGUUCCAUCCAAUUUUGAUCAACAGACAUCUCGGACAACUGUCUGCUAUAUAUAUGGAAAGUUAGAAAAACACAAUAAAGUCUCCAAGUUAAUGUAUAUGCAAGUUUAUGAGUUUCCCAACUUCAUCUCCCACUGUAACGGGUCAAGCUUCUAUCCCAUUCCCGGAUGUGUCGCCUCACUGAUGAUGCCAACAACUUGAACACGUCUUUAAAUUUUUCAGAAAUUUCGACAGCACCUCCCCAUGGUCUUCAAGUACACGAAAUAGACUAACACAUCAUAAUCUAAAUAUGUACCCAAAUAACAUCAAGAUAUAUAUAUUGACCGAAAAUUCAAAAAAUAUAAAGACGUGCUCAAGUCGUUAACACCGAUCUAAGUGAGAUUAAAACAUACAAGAACAGUCCCAAAACGGGGAUUAUUUGAGAUUCAUUCCUACUAAGUGAAUCUCAAACGAGUUUCUAAGCUUCCUAAACUAUAUGAAAAUAUGCACAUAUGAAAGUAUAAUGAGCUGGUAAAUUUCUUAACCCACCCUCAAAUAGGAAAAAAAACAAAUAAAUAUUGUUUUUGAAUAUGCUUGCAUAAUGGACCAUCUAUAUAUUACAUGUUACAUAUAAAUCAAUUAAACUCAAAUCAAAUCUAUCCACAACAAACUAAUAUGAGGUUCAAAACAAAGUAAUCAGUUUAGCCAAAACCAUAUAGAGGGCAUGCUUUGGUGCUUGAGCAUUCCACAAACUUGAUUGAAAAUCUAUGUAAGAUUUGAGAACUUACCUUUCCCGUAAAGGUAAUUCACUGACCCAAGCUCAUGGUUUACUUUUAAGUUUUGAACCUCUUUAAUUAUGCUAGUGAGGAACAAUAAACUUUUAACAAUAUAUAUAGGAGGAUCAAAACAAAGUAAUCAGUUUAGCCAAAACAAUUAAGUAAUUAUUUUUCUUUUUUUUGUUGCUAAUUCUAGGCAAAGUAGUAUGUAAUUUAAACUCACACUUACUACUUUGCCACUGCUAAAGUUUGAACUUCUACCCACAAGGGGUGGGGAUAACUCACACUUAUUAUCAAUUUUUUAUUGUAAACAAUGGUUCUUACCCACACAGUCUUUAAAAAGGAGAAACAAUAAAAACUCAUUUGGAAUCAAACAAAAACACACAUGUAGGCAGGGAUAAUCGGUUUAAAUAAGAAAUCAACAAUUCGUCCAAUUCUCUCUCCUCUAGGCACAUUUGAAGAUGAUGGUGGACUAGUGUGACGCCCCCAAAAUAGGUAUACAACACCCAUUCUGAGUCGCCAAAUACAUGGUACAGAAACAACUAUAACUUUAUUAAUACAAUUAUCGUGCAAAAUACGACAACACAUAAACUGUGAGUUUAAAUACAAAUAUUGUCAUCUAUACAAUAUCCACACUCAAAUAAGUCCUCAUUACAAUUAUUGAUACACUAUUUUACAAAAUGGUGAGGACUAAUAAAACAACUUCUAGAACCAUCAUUCCAUACCCUGACUAGUACUCGCUACAUUCUCGCCUCCUGAGAAGAAAAAUGGAACAAAAAAAAGGGUGAGCUCAACUAGCCCAGUAAAGAAUAUUAUGACUAAGAUAAUAUAGAACAAAUUAUCGUUAGUAUUCAACAGAAAAAAAUUUGAUAGAAUAUAAUAGACAACAAGUUUCAGAUCAAUAUUCGUAGCGGAAAUAAUAAUUCAUAGAAGAGUUACGUAGAGAAUGAAAUCUACUAUUAUCUAUGAAUUUAAAAGUCCAUCAUCAAUAUUUUAUCCCUGCAACAUCAAUCAAUAUACAUCAUAGAUCAAAUAUUCAUCUUUGAACUACAGGCCAAAGAUAUUCAUCAGUUGAUCAUGUUCAUCUCAACACCUGUACAUCUUUGCACUACGGCCAAAGAUAUUCAUAAGAAAAUCAACCAUCUUUGCACUACAAGCCAAAUAUAUUCAGUAAUAUCAUCAUUUAGGACUGAGGAUGAUGAAAAAUAUUUUAAAGAAAACGAAUCGAGUAAAACAAAAGAACAAAUAUUAAGGAUUCGUACUUUAAACAAUCCGAGUUCAAAAAUACUUCAUAAAUAAUCAUCGUGGAACAAAAUUCAAGAAUGAUCAAAACAUGGAUACAAUCAAAGCUAGUAUCCAUAAUAGAUAUUUUGGACAAAAAAUGAAAAUUUAAUUUUUCUGCGAAUAGUGUCGUAUUCGUGAAUAGUGCCGUAUACGUGAAUAGUAACCCUGACACUAAAAGACAAGAAAUUCACAAGAAAAAUCUUACCAAUAUUCCGGCAUAAUGAUAUUAGAAGAAAUAAUAUCAUUUAAAAAAAAAUAACAUCCCUUACCUCGAAAAGACAGUACUUCUGACUAGAAUACUGGAUAUAUUACUGAAGGGAACUUGUACCGUAUAGCAACACUCAAAGUAUCAAAAUACUCACAAGAAUACACUCGAUAAUAUAGAGAGAGAAAGAGAGAGAACACUAGUUUCUGGUGUGAUUUUCAAUUCUAACCUAAGCACCCUAUUUAUAGAAAAAUGCUUAGAACACCAAAGCAGAAAAUUUAAUAAAAUAUUAAUAUAUUUAUUAUAAAUUCCUACGCACACCAAAGACAUCUGAUUUCAUCCAUUAACAUGUGCAAGUGGGGCCCACCCAAGUGUAAAAAACGUUUUUCUUAAAUAAAACAAUUAAAUCUUUCAAAAAUCAAUUAUUCCGAAACUUUGGAACUUCAAUAAUUCAUAACAAAUAGCCCUUUUAUCAGAAAUAUUCGAAUCUUAUGUCCAUUCCAUAGAAAAUUCAAUUCUCUACAACUUUGUAAGUUUAAGUUUUUCCAAAUUCCAAACAGAAAUUGACCGAAAUCCACAUACGGACGAUUUUACAAGCUAUAAUCAAAUUUCAGUCAAGAAAUGGGGUCCACAAACAUGAAAAACAUAUUUUAAAUAUUUUUAGUAACAAAAAUACUCUUCCUUCUCAUUUAUUCAUAUAUCCCACAUUCAUUGUAAAAAUAUCACCAUUAUUAUAUUAUUAAAAUAUAAUAAUAUAUUUAAAUGAAUUAUUUUAUCAGAAAAGAUAAAAUAUCAAUUUUUUAACAAUUGUCACUUUAAAAUUUUCUCCAUCUAUAUCCACAUAAAAUGAAUAUUUUCCUUAUCAUAUAAAUCAAUAAUUAAUUAUUCACAAAUAAUAUUACAGAAUCACAAUAUUGACAACCAGGCCGUUCCCAGGAAAGAGGGGGCUUUCCAAUAAGAAUUUCUCCUUACUGGCGCGCAAUUAGGUGACCAAACCUCUCCUUAGACAGAACUUUCUAGACAUUGCCAAUAAUGUUAUCUAAUAAUAUUAUUCAGAUAAUAUGAAUUAUUGCUUCGAUAAUGAAAAAUACUGUGUAAUGACAAUUAUUGAAACAACAGCAAUAUAAAAUAUCAACGCAACAAUUAUUGAAUCAAUAAAAUAAAAUACUGAACAGUAAUUACUGUAACCAUUAUUGAGUAGUGCCUUCUUACGUAAGAAUCAAUAAUUGGUGCAAUACCGUGUGCUACUGUGCAACAACGCGUAUUACUGUGUUUUAACCACCGGGUAUUCCAACAGUAUUAACGGUAACAAUUAUGUCGUUAUUUAUAAACAACUUAUACUUGUCGUUUUCUUCAUCCAAUCACUUUUCGUUAUGGGGCCCACACAAGGCUGCGGCGUCGUACGAAUAUUCCUCGACAGCAAGAAUAUUCCACGACCAAACGAAUAUUCUCCGACAACAAUGAAUAUUUUAUAACCACUUGCUUAUUUGAAAUAUUUACGCAUUUUACCCAUAACUAAUCACAUUAAUCAAAUCGACCCUUACUAUUUCAAAAUAAUAAAUAGAGAAAAUUCAAUUUCAUUUAUAACAAAUUUGGGGUCUUACAACCUCCCCUCCUUAUGAAAUUUUGUCCUCGAAAUUGACGUACGUACCUAGUGUUUCGAAAAAGUGAGGAUACCUCACUUUCAUUUCCGUUUCUAACUCCCAUGUCAUUUCCUCAAUAGCAUGGUUCCUCCACAAAACUUUGACUUGUGGUAUGACCUUUGUGUGUAGGACAUGCUCCUUCUUAUCUAAGAUCUUGACAGGUACUUCUUCAUACGUUAAGUCUUCGGCUAUCUCGUCCGGUUCUAACUCAAUAACGUGGUUCGGGUCUUUCACAUAUUUACGAAGCACAGAUAUGUGAAAAACAUUAUGAACACGAGACAUACUUGGAGGUAACACGAGUCUAUAGGCCACAUUUCCAACUCGGUCAAGAAUCUGAAAUGGACCAAUAAAUCAUGGAUUGAGCUUUCCUCUCUUCCCAAAUCUUGUAACUCCCUUCCAUGGAGCAACACGCAACAAUACAUGAUCCCCAAUACUAAAUUCCACGUCCUUUCGAUGAAGAUCCGCAUAACUCUUUUGUCGAUCCCGUGCCAUUUGUAUACGUUGUCGAAUCAUUUGGAUCUUUUCCGUAGUCAUACGUACCAACUCUGGUCCCAACAAUGUUGCUUCACCCACCUCAUCCCAACAUACUGGAGAGCGACACUUUCGUCCAUACAACGCUUCAAAUGGGGCCACACCUAUACUUGUCUAAUAACUGUUGUUGUAGGAGAAUUCCACCAAUGGUAAAUACAUAUCCCAACUCCCUUUGAAGUCUAGGACACAGAGUCUUAAUAGAUCUUCAAGAGUUUGAAUAGUCCUCUCUGAUUGUCCGUCCGUUUGAGGAUGGUAUGCCGAACUAAAUCGCAAAUCCGUGCCCAUAGUUUUUUGCAAGCUAACCCAAAAUUGUGAAGUGAAUCUUAGGUCACGAUCCGAAACUAUGGAUACUGGCAUGCCAUGCAAUCUCACAAUCUCAUUUACGUACAUACGAGCAAGACGUUCAAAAGAAUAAGUCUCCCGUAUCGACAAGAAAUAAGCAGACUUGGUUAAUCUAUCAACAAUAACCCAAAUAACAUCUAUGCCUUGAGAAACUGUGGGAAGACCCGUAACGAAAUCCAUGGUAAUGUGUUCCCACUUCCAUUUCAGAAUCUCAAGUGGUUGCAAUGGACCCUUAGGCACUUGAUGCUCUGCCUUUACACGUUGACAAGUUAAACACCUCGAAAUAAACUUUGCAAUAUCUCUCUUCAUAUUGUUCCACCAAAAUGUAUGUCGAAGAUCAUGAUACAUUUUGGUACUUCCAGGAUGGAUUGCAAAUGGUGUAUUGUGUGCCUCCAUCAUGAUCUUGUAUUUCAAAUCAGAGUCGUUAGGAACACAAGUCUGGAGUGGACUCGAAGUAUUCCUUCUUCAUCGAUUCUUGCUUCUGGAAUAACACCUUCUUGUACUAUCUUCUUCAUACGCAUCAGCUCUGGGUCUGUGGCUUGAGCAACUUUAACUUUAUCGAUUAAAGUCAGUUCUAAGCGUAUACUUGACAUCAUCGCAUGAGUCCCCGGAGUCUUGAAUUCUAUCUUCAUCUUUUGUAAAUCACACAAAAUAGGCCUUUGUGUUAACAACAUCGCACUCGUUCCAGCAUAUGAUCUUCUACUCAACGCGUCAGCUACCACGCUUGCUUUUCGAGGAUGGUAUUGAAUAGUGUGGUCGUAAUCUUUCAACAGCUCGAGCCAACGCCGUUGCCGCAUGUUGAGUUCCUUUUGAGUGAAGAAAUAUUUGAGGUUUUUAUGAUCUGAAUAUAUCUCCAUUUUCUCCCCAUAUAGAUAGUGCCUCCAGAUCUUUAGCGCAAAAACGACUGUCGCCAACUCUAGAUCAUGAGUAGGAUAAUUCCUCUCAUAUUCUUUAAGUUGUCGCGAGGCAUAGGCUAUGACUUUCUCAUGUUGCAUGAGAACACAUCCUAACCCUUUGCCUGAAGCAUCGCUGUAGAUAAUAAAUCCAUCCGAAUCAGACGGUAUUGUCAGAACAGGUGCCAAAAUGAGUCUCCUCUUAAGCUCUUGAAAACUCUUCUCAUAUUCCUCGCUCCAUACGAAUUUUGUAUCGUUCCGAGUUAGCUGAGUUAACGGAGUAGAGAUUCGAAAAAAUCCUUCCACGAAUUUUCGAUAAUAACCAGCUAAGCCUAGAAAGGUACGUACUUCGGUCACCGACUUCGGUUGCUCCCAACUUUGUAUUGCUUCAAUCUUUGCUGGGUUAACAAAUACUCCAUGUUUUGACACCACGUGCCCAAGGAAUUCUACUUCCUCAACCCAGUACUCGCAUUUCUUCAACUUAGCAUAAAGCUUGUUUUCACGAAGCCUUUGGAGUACUAGCUUCAAAUGGCGCUCAUGAUCUUCACGGCUUUUGGAAUAUAUGAGGAUGUCAUCAAUAAAGACAACAACGAACUGAUCCAAAUAUUCCUUGAAUAUUCGGUUCAUUAUAUCCAUGAAAGCCACAGGAGCAUUAGUUAAUCCAAAAGACAUGACUAAGAAUUCAUAAUGCCCGUACCGAGUUCUGAAGGCAGUCUUUGGAAUAUCCUCAGUUCUAAUCUUCAGCUGAUGAUAUCCAGAAUGAAGAUCGAUCUUUGAAAAGAAUUGUGCUCCUUGUAACUAGUCAAACAUGUCAUCAAUACGAGGUAGCGGAUACCUAUUCUUAAUAUUGACAUGAUUUAAUUCUCGAUAGUCAAUACAAAGUCGCAUACUUUCGUCUUUCUUCUUUACAAAUAAAACAGGAGCACCCCAAGGAGAUAUACUAGGACGAAUGAAACCGAUGUCCAACAACUCCUGUAGUUGGACUUUUAACUCCUGAAGUUCAAUAGGAGCCAUUCGAUAUGAGGUUUUAGAAAUGGGCUUUGUACCAGGUUCAAGAUCAAUAAAAAAAUUCAACUUUACGUUCUGGGGAUAGACUGGGAAGUUCUUCAGGAAAUACGUCAGAAAAUUUACUAACAACAAGAAUAUUAUUCAAAUCUGACGUGUCUUUAUUCAAAUCCAUAACAUGGGCUAAGAAAGCUUGACAUCCGUUUUUCAAUAAACGAAUAGCUUUAUGACUUGAUAUGACAGUGAUUGAUUUUAGUGGUUUAGUUGCUUGAAUUCGUACAACAGGUUGGUUAGGAUUAUGAAAACUAACAACCUUACGAAAACAAUCAAUUUUGGCAUGAUGAGUAGUUAACCAAUUAAUCCCUAAAAUCACAUCAAAAUCAAGUAUCUUUAAAGAGACAAUGUCAACAGGUAAUGUGAUGGUGCCAACUUGGAUCAAACAAAAUUUAUAAACAGUGAAAGUGAUGAAAGUUUCUCCUAAUGGAGUCUCCAUAGAUAAAUCAAAGUCUAAUUUCUCUGGAGUCAAGUUUAAACGUUGAGCACAAGCAGGAGAGAUAAAUGAAUGGGUAGCACCGGUAUCUAGUAAGGUAUAAACUUCGCAAGAAUUUAUGAUUAACUUACCCGUGAUCACCUCGUUUGGGUUCCUCGCAUUUUGACCAGUCACGACAAACUCUCUUCCAAGAACCGUUGACUUUGACUUUUUUGGGACAGCCUUUUGAGUCACCAUCCCCGCUGGACUUGGUUUCGCUACAGUACAAUCUCGAGCGAUAUGUCCUUCUUUUCCACAAUUAUAACAUACCUUGAACUGUUAUGGGCUGUUUGGGCUGAUAUGUCCCUCUUUUCCACAUUUAUAACAUACGACCGAUGGUCGUUCUCCUCCCUUAGAACCAGUUGCUGCUGGUGCUGACGUCUUUGCAUUGUCAUUGUUGAAUCUCCUCUUUUUAAAAUCUCCUCUCGACUCGUUUCUUCUAUUUUCAUGACCAUGAUUACCACCAGAGUGGUUACCGCUUUUGUCCGUAUUUUUCUUUCUCCACUGGUUAUCGUUGUUCUGAUGACUGCUGUCACCGGUAUGAUCCUAGUUGUGGUCCCUCGGUUGAACGUACUCGUUAUCUCGCUCUAAUAAUUGAGCCCUGUUGACAACAUCUGAAUAGAGAGAAAAUUUAUGAGAAAUGAGAUAUUGACGUAUGCCGGGUUUUAAACCUCUGAGAAACAUCUGCAUCAUACAUUCUUCAUUCUCCACCAAAUGAGGUGCAAACCUGGAUAACUCUAAAAACUUCGCCUCGUACUGGGACACCGUCAUGUUGUUUUGUUCUAGUCUAAUAAACUUCACUUCCUUCAUAUAACGAAUACUUUCAGGAAAGUACUUGUCAUUGAACAGUUUCUGAAACAUCUCCCAAGACAUGCUGAGUGCGGCUGGAUGGAUAUGCUUCACAGAUUUCCACCAGUAAUUUGCCUUAUUACGGAACAUAAAGGUGGCGAAUGGAACCUUCUGUUCUUCUGUGCAUCCCAAGACGUUAAAUAUAUUGAUAAUUUGCUUGACCCACGUCUCUGCCUUAAUCGGAUCCGGCUUUCCCCAGAAUUCUGGUAGUCCCAACUCUUUGAACUGCUUGGCUGUGACAAACCGUGCGUUGUUAUCAUUUCCACCUGUAUUUUGUACACGAGUCUCCCUCGUCUAAUUUUACAUGAACUGCAAAAAGCUUCUAAACAUCCCGUCGUUCAUCGUCUGUUCAGUGGUGUUGUUUACAGGAGGAACAUUGUCAGCCUGCUGCUCGUUCUCCUCAUUGGUGAGAAAAGGAGUCUCCGCGGUCUCAUUUACUCCACUGUUAACAUUCUCAGUCGCCAUUCUCAAAUACUGCCAUAAAACAAGGGUUAAUUAAAGAAAUCAACAUAUCACAUAAUAUCCCUAUAUACUGACCAACCAACAAAUAAGCUUAGGUAAGACACACUAGCGAAGGAUUUACUCGUCUCUCCCCUCCUAGUUCUAUUCCCCGAUCUCCGCCAGAGAUCAUAUUCCUAAGCUCUGAUACCAACUGUGACGCCCCCAAAAUAGGUAUACAACACCCAUUCUGAGUCGCCAAAUACAUGGUACAAAAACAACUACAAUUUUAUUAAUACAAUUGUCAUGCAAAAUACGACAACACAUAAACUGUGAGUUUAAAUACAAAUAUUGUCAUCUAUACAAUAUCCACACUCAAAUAAGUUCUCAUUACAAUUAUUGAUACACUAUUUUACAAAAUAGUGAGAACUAAUAAAACAACUUCUAGAACCAUCAUUCCAUAUCCCGACUAGUACUCGCUACAUUCUCGCCUCCUGAGAAGAAAAAUGGAACAAAAAAAGGGUGAGCUCAACUAGCCCAGUAAAAAAUAUUAUGACUAAGAUAAUAUAGAACAAAUUAUUGUUAGUCUUCAACAGGAAAAAAUCUGAUAGAAUAUAAUAGACAACAAAUUUCAGAUCAAUAUUCGCAGCGGAAAUAAUAAUUCAUAGAAGAGUUACGUAGAGAAUGAAAUCUACUAUUAUCUAUGAAUUUAAAAGUCCAUCAUCAAUAUUUUUUUCCUGCAACAUUAAUCAAUAUACAUCAUAGAUCAAAUAUUCAUCUUUGCACUACAGGCCAAAUAUAUUCAUCAGUUGGUUAUGUUCAUCUCAACACCUGUACAUGUUUGCACUACGGCCAAAGAUAUUCAUAAGAAAAUCAACCAUCUUUGCACUAUAGGCCAAAGAUAUUCAGUAAUAUUAUCAUUUAGGACUGAGGAUGAUGAAAAAUAUUUUAAAAAAAACGAAUCUAGUGAAACAAAAGAACAAAUAUUAAGGAUUCGUACUUUAAACAAUCCGAGUUCAAAAAUACUUCAUAAAUAAUCAUAGUGGAGCAAAAUUCAAGAAUGAUCAAAACAUGGAUACAAGCAAAACUAGUAUCCAUAAUAGAUAUUUUGGACAAAAAAUAAAAAUUAAUUUUUCUAUGAAUAGUGUCGUAUUCGUGAAUAGUGCCAUAUACGUGAAUAGUGCCGUAUACGUGAAUAGUAACCCCGACACUAAAAGACAAGAAAUUCAAAAGAAAAAUCUUACCAAUAUUCCAACAUAAUGAUAUUAGAAGAAAUAAUAUCAUUUUAAAAAAAAUAACAUCCCCUACUUCGAAAAGACAGUACUUCUGACUGGAAUACUGAAUAUAUUACUGAAGAAAACUUGAACCGUAUAGCAACACUCAAAGUAUCAAAAUACUCACAAGAAUACGCUCGAUAAUAUAGAGAGAGAAAGAGAGAGAAAACUUAUUUCUGGUGUGAUUUUCAAUUCUAACCUAAGCACCCUAUUUAUAGGAAAACGCUUUGAAUACCAAAGCAGAAAAUUUAAUAAAAUAUUAAUAUAUUUAUUAUAAAUUCCUACGCACACCAAAGACAUCUGAUUUCAGCCAUUAACAUGUGCAAGUGGGGCCCACCCAAGUGUAAAAAAUAUUUUUCUUAAAUAAAACAAUUAAAACUUUCAAAAAUCAAUUAUUCCGAAACUUUGGAGCUUCAAUAAUUCAUAACAAAUAGCCAUUUUAUCAGAAAAAUUUGAAUCUUAUGUCCAUUCCAUAGGAAAUUCAAUUCUCUACAACUUUGUAAGUAUAAGUUUUUCCAAAUUCCAAACAGAAAUUGACCAAAAUUCACAUACGGACGAUUUUACAGGCUAUAAUCAAAUUUCAGUCAAGAAAUGGGGUCCACAAACAUGAAAAACAUGUUUUAAAUAUUUUUAGUAACAAAAAUACUCUUCCUCCUCAUUUAUUCAUAUAUCCCACAUUCAUUGUAAAAAUAUCACCAUUAUUAUAUUAUUAAAAUAUAAUAAUAUAUUUAAAUGAAUUAUUUUAUCAGAAAAGAUAAAAUAUCAUUUUUUUAACAAUUGUCACUUUAAAAUUUUCUUCAUCGAUAUCUACAUAAAAUGAAUAUUUUCCUUAUCAUAUAAAUCAAUAAUUAAUUAUUCACAAAUAAUAUUACAGAAUCACAAUAUCGACAACCAGGCCAUUCCCAGAAAAGAGGAAGUUUUUCAAUAAGGAUUUCUCCUUACUAGCGCACAAUUAGGUGACCAAACCUUUCUUUAGACAGAACUUUUUAGACAUUGUCAAUAAUGCUAUCUAAUAAUAUUAUUCAAAUAAUAUGAAUUAUUGAUUUGAUAAUGAAAAAUACUGUGUAGUGACAAUUAUUGAAACAAUAAUAUAAAAUAUCAACGUAGCAAUUAUUGAAUCAAUAAAAUAAAAUAUUGAACAGUAAUUACUGUAAUAAUUAUUGAGUAGUGCCUUCUUACGUAAGAAUCAAUAAUUGGUGCAAUACCGUGUGCUACUGUGUUUUAACCACCGGGUAUUCCAACAGUAUUAACGAUAACAACUACGCCGUUAUUUAUAAACAACUUAUACUUGUCUUUUUCUUCAUCCAAUCACUUUCCGUUAUGGGGCCCACACAAGGCUGCGGCGUCGUACGAAUAUUCCUCGACAGCAAGAAUAUUCCACGACCAAACGAAUAUUCCCCGACAACAAUGAAUAUUUUAUAACCACUUGCUUAUUUGAAAUAUUUACGUAUUUUACCCAUAACUAACCACAUUAAUCAAAUCAACCCUUACUAUUUCAAAAUAAUAAAUAGAGAAAAUACAAUUUCAUUUAUAAUAAAUUUGGGGUCUUACAACUAGGACUAUAUAGGACUACGCCUAUUUGUAACCGAAUUCAACCUACAUGAAAUAGCUGGAAAGGGUUUAUGCUCCGAAUUAUGAUGGGACUGAGACUGCGAAAACCUCUCAGGUGAGGAAACAUCACUCAACCUAUUGCUCUUUGAUGAAGUAGGAGAGCCUUCUAAAUCUUCAGACUGGUUGGACAUGAUAUGAAGUUUCUUUAGAAGGUUCUUCAUAUUAUUUGUGCUAAGCUAUACAAGUCAAUGCUAGCGGAAAAAAAAUCUAGCCAUAAAACUCUCCAUUGUCUUGGACCAAACAUGAGAGCAGUGACAAAACCACAAGUACAAUGAUAGAUUUCAAGCCAACCCAGAAAGGCAGUUUAGGUCAACAACAAGAAACAUAAACCCAUCAAACAUAAACUUUUUAGUUUGAUGAUCAUUUACAAGAAACAAACACAAUUAUGUCUUAAAACUUAAAAGAUAUGGAACAAAAUGAUCAUUAAGAUUCAACUAUACAAUAAUUUUCUCCAUCUUUAACACAUAUUUUGGAAGUCGGAGUUUCUUGUGGUUUACAAUUUCCGUUAUAUCUACGGGAUCAUUAUAAAACCUUUGUUUAAAUUUGGUGUAUAAAAGUAAUAGUUUGGAGAACUUAGCGAAAUUCAACUCGAAUACUAUAGGCCUCAGCAGCUGGUAUAGUCAAAAAAAUAUUAUGUUUUGCGGGACAUAUUGACGACGGCUAAGCCGUCGAUAAUGACAUUAUUCUCGACGACAGUAUUCCCGAUGCUAAUGAGGCCGUCGUCAAUGACCAUAUAUUUGAAUUCACCACCACCGCGUUUCCAAACAUAUGUUCAUUUAUGAAUGCCACCUUGUGCUCCCUCAAUUUUUUGGUUGGACGCCCUUUCCGUCCAUUGUUAUUGACUAAACUCUUUAGCGACUCUGUAACUACCUAUGAAGAAAAAUAAUUCAAUUUAUUUGCUUGCUAGGGUGACUAAUAAUUUAUCUUGUACAAUACGAUUGGUUGUGGGUAGUCCAAAUAUCAGGUUGUGGCUAGUACAAAUAUCUAUAUUGUGGUUCUCUAUCAUUUGCAAGUAUUUCAAAGCUUGAAGGCAGGAUUGUGGGCCUGUAUUUUUAAGAAGAAUCAUACUAUGGCAUUGAACGAAACAGAAAACUUAAAGAGGAUAUAGGAAUUGUUGGAAUGUAGGCCAGAUAUAGAUUUUGAGAUUGUGCUAAACAGAGUCUCACUUUGAAUCAAUCCUAUACAAAGGCUGAAUUCAAGCAAGAGUUCGGGAAUUUGUUAGGAAGUGGUAGUUCUCAAAAUUUCAGCGCUUAGCCGAACUGAUGUUCCCAUGGGGCAGGUUAUUUGAUUAUUCUUGAGCCUGAUCGAUCUCUAAAUUACUUUGCUUUUGACAUCUACAAUGUUUUGGGACUUGAUGCAUAUCCUUUUAACUUGGAAAAUUAUGUGAAAUUCAUGACGAACAAUCUAGAGAGAACCCUGGUGUUGGAUAAACUUCUAUGACCUUAUGCUCCUUUGCGCAGAGGAUGUAAUACCUGCAGAAUAUUCUAGUUGCAUAAGAUGUUCUACCUGCCAGCGGGAAGGUAUGCUUGUUCUCAUGAUGAGCCCUAGUUAGCGUGUAUGCUAUUAUUUUGUGUCAUUCUAUGGUUAAUUUUGGGUUUUUUUGUGUUUAAUUUUGCCUUGCUUUGUAAGCAAAGUAAGUAAAGGACCUGUAAAUGUGUUUCUGAAAUUUUCAAUCCCUCUCCCAUGGUGAUAUUGUGGUCUUAGAUAUUUUAGGGAAGUAUGUUCUUUUAUUGUUUGCAACACAUUCUUCCUAUGCAUCUAGAAUUUUUUGCGAGAAAUUAAGAAAAUUUAUUCUGCACUGCUAGAGGCAGAUAACUGCUUUGAGAGUAUUUACAUCUCCUUGGAUUGCGAUAAUCCCUAUCUUCCUUCCCCAAUUGCAUCCAUGAAAUGUCAUGGUUGGUCUCCACUCUUUUGUCCUGAAUUUUUCUGCUUCUGUGCUCGAAAAGGUGUUCCUGUUUGAAUAUCCUAAUACACCCCUUCCUGCCAUUGCAGCCUUUGGGCCAAGUGGACAACUUUAAGUAAAAGAAUCCAACUUAGCUAUCAAAGAAAAAUGGCGUUCCAACUAUCUGUUCAUCGACUCAUAUUCAUGUGAAGAAGAGGUUCACAGGGAAUUUGUCAAUGGCUACAAAUGGAACAUGGGACUUAUUUUCCCUGUUAUCUCCUCCAGAAAGUAGAUUUGCACUUGAUGUGAUGGAUGAAUUACUCAAUGGUUUAGAUAUGUUGUUUGAGCAAGAUUGUGUUUUAAGUUUUAUGUUUGGUAAGCAACAAAGCUAAUAAUAGUAGUGGGCAGUUAAUAUAUGGUGUUUGAUCAAUUUUUGUGCGAUAAAAUAAGUAACUCCAUUCGUUACAAAAUUAGAUAUAUAUGUUUGUUUUAAAAUUAGGGAUACACUUCUAUUUUGAGAUAUAAAAUACCAUUAUAAUGUCCAAUGUACCCUUACAGAGGUUACUUGGAUAGAAUGGUUUGCAAUGAACAUUUCAUUGUCAUUUGUCCCCAUAAUUUGCCCCUUGAGUCCGGUGUUUCUCCUAUGUGUUGGGAUCACAAGUGACAUCCCUAAUGUAUUUUAGGCUUGAUAAGCUGGGGUUGGAUGUGGGUGUGAUUAGUAUAGGUGAGUUAGGCCAUGUAUCUGUCUAUUUCGCUAAAGGCUUCUGGGCAAGUCACCGCCAUUAGAUUAGUUGACUACAUUGAUUAAUUAAUCAGGGUGACCAAAAUUAAAAUGGGUUUAAAAUUUUCAAAAUUUUAACAUCUCUACGAUGCGGAAUUUCUAAUUCAAAAUUUCAUAAAACAUAGCAUGCAUACCUGUAAGCACUUGGAGCGUAAAAUUGAGAACUGCAACUUUCAUUUCCUAUACCUCUCAUACCAAAAGUAGAGUUCUGGAUCUGAAUCUUCGAGAGAGUGAUUACUAUUUAGCUCAGUCUGAAAACUGAGCACUUGAUCACUCACGUCCCACAAAAACAUUCCUUCUUUUGUUAGCAAGUUGCCAAGCCUUUUGACAGAGGAAGAAGAAACCAUGGUGUUUGAUUAUUAUGUGUAAGCUUCGGAGUCUCUCUCUCUUAUAUCAAUUGGAGAUCUAGGGUUAACAUUUCCACAAUUUUUC